Molecule: long non-coding RNA, 1869 nt
Organism: Stomoxys calcitrans (stable fly)
Lineage: Eukaryota; Metazoa; Arthropoda; Insecta; Diptera; Muscidae
Exons: 3
Source: RefSeq, a predicted model, not a curated record
AAAAAACGUUGUCUCUUUUGGUUUGGUCAUGUUUGUAGAUGAUUUGAUAAAAGUUAAUUUUUGUCCAAUUUAAGGCACCAACAACGUGAAUAUAUUAUAAUUAUAGUUUUAUUUUAUAAAAAAUGGUAUUAUGGUUGUCGAAAGCGAAAAAUCUUUAUGGUAUCACGUAAGUCGAAUUUGACUACCAAAUUUGACAAAAAUAAUCGAUAUGUAAAGCAAUUGCCCUAUAAGGUUGUUGUUGUAGCAGUGUGUUGUACAUUGAGGCGGCAACCCUUGCCGAUGAAGGAUAUCAACGGGACAAUCCAGUAUGUACAACCCCGUAUGGUACUUCAGCACAUUUUCAUGUGGAGGUGUCCUCGUUGAGCCCCUGUAGAAAAUGCUCGUUCCGGUCCAAAGGACCGAACGCCGCGGCAACAUGGUGGCCAUUGGUUAUUUGAAGGCGCCGAUAACCCGCCUUGCAAUAUCAAGCAUCAUAGGAACUCAGUAUUUGUGUUAGAGCCAAUGCCGCCCGGCCUCUUAUUGAAACUCUCCGCUCGUUACCGCUGAUUGUCCGCGACUGUCGUUACACCUAAUUAUCGAUGUGUCUUUUUCCCUUGGCUACUUUUGUGGAGGAUUUUAUUACAGAAACCACAUUUAUGGGGGUUCAUUAAUUUGGAAGUUUUGAAUAAUUUGCAACGUACACGUGCUAACUCAGGUUAGGUAAGAGUGGCACUCCUUUACAGACUCACUUAGACAAUUUUAAGUCCAUUGUGAAACCACAGUAGCGACAGACCAAGGCUUCUGGCGGGAAUCGAACUCACGACCCCUGCACUGAUAAUCUAAGCACGCUACCAACUCGGCCACCGGGGCGCUCGUACCAUAAAUAGAUGUUUAUUGCGAUUUGUGUCAUUCCACACGUUCAGACAUACCUGAAUAACGGCAAGACAUUUUCCAAUCAAGUUAUUGAAUACAAUACAACAUGUCAUGUAAGAAGGGCUUUUUAACACUCAGCAGAACAAGGAAAUCAAGACCAAGAACCUAGCCCGGUUACAAGCACCAUCAAGAAGAUGCGAUGUGGGAAUUGUUGAUGGAUCGUUAAGUGAACGGAAUCGCAUGCCAAUGAAAACCAACUUCUUUGGACGCUUUAAAUUUCUUAGAUCCACUACCAAAGACUGGAGAGAGUGGGGCGAUUUAAUUGCUAUAGAGCUUAAUAUAUCUGAUCAAGCCAUAUGAACAAAACUAAGAAAACUUAUGAAAGAAAACGAGCGCUGCAGAGGAAACAAACUUUGAUCAAUUGAAGAAAAUUUUGACAAAACCAAUGUAAAAGGCUGCACAAAGAAAUAUGAGAACUAUUACAAACUAAAAGUUGAGAGCAAAGGCUGCAUUAGUGGUAAACCUAAUGGUGCCAAUACCAGCAAUGGGAGCAACUGUUUCCAUACUAACCAACUUUGCGAUACUUGAUGGUUCUGAAAGUAGCACAGACUCAUUCGACAACAGUCCUAGGGGGAUAACAAUGCAACACCAAUACGUUAUUUACAAGGAAGCUGUUCGUAUGAAGGAGUACUUGGUAAGCACGCUUUGUCUGGGGUAGUGGGGCAUGCAUUGCCGGCAAACACCUUGAGAGCGUUGAAUAUCAGGCCGUGGUCAUCAAAAGUGAAUCCGAAGAUGGGAAAGCUCAAACAAUCGCAGAAGGGCUCUAGAAUGUGUUAGAUGAGUUUAACCUGCGGAAAUGAGUUGUAAUGAUUGUUGCCGAUACAGCAAGCGUGAUUUAGAUUUAGAUUUAGAUUUAUUUGUUCGUUUUCACAUACAACAAGAUAACAAUGAUCUUAUAAUUACUGUAUGUGAGAUAUCAAUGACAUUUAACACAGUUCAACAGAGAUAAGUAGUAUA